RNAcentral lists this ribosomal RNA (471 nucleotides) under uncultured bacterium. RNAcentral's name for it is "bacterial SSU rRNA". It matches the Rfam family "Bacterial small subunit ribosomal RNA", at positions 335 to 801 of the family's 1533-position model. The record is from RNAcentral.
ACUCCUACGGGAGGCAGCAGUGGGGAAUAUUGCACAAUGGGCGCAAGCCUGAUGCAGCCAUGCCGCGUGUAUGAAGAAGGCCUUCGGGUUGUAAAGUACUUUCAGCAGUGAGGAAGGCGGGUACGUUAAUAGCGUGCUCGUUUGACGUUAGCUGCAGAAGAAGCACCGGCUAACUCCGUGCCAGCAGCCGCGGUAAUACGGAGGGUGCGAGCGUUAAUCGGAAUUACUGGGCGUAAAGCGCAUGCAGGUGGUUUGUUAAGUCAGAUGUGAAAGCCCGGGGCUCAACCUCGGAAUUGCAUUUGAAACUGGCAGACUAGAGUACUGUAGAGGGGGGUAGAAUUUCAGGUGUAGCGGUGAAAUGCGUAGAGAUCUGAAGGAUACCGGUGGCGAAGGCGGCCCCCUGGACAGAUACUGACACUCAGAUGCGAAAGCUGGGGAGCAAACAGGAUUAGAUACCCUGGUAGGAUAGCG